AUAAUAAUAAUAAUAAUAAUCUCUUUAGUAAUAUGUCUAGAUGACAUAUAUAGUUAUAGUAAAAUAACUAAUCAUAUUGCUAUUAAGACUAUGAAUCCUAGAACAACUUAAUUUCGUAAAUAAAAUGAAAUAAAAUAAAAUAAAAUAUAAUAUUAUUUCCUAACAGAACUCUAUAAAUACUUCUAAAUACUAAUAGAAUUCCUAAAGAAUAAAAAUUUAAAUUUCCUAAUUCUACAAUAAAUAUAAUUUCCAAGUUUAGUCUUCUUUUAAUACUGCAUCACCUUCCCACCCUGGUGCUAAUUUCUGACAACUUGAACAUUAAGCUGUUGCUUUCCUCUUUUGGCAUGUACCAAUCCUUGGCAUGGUUUUGUUUGUUGUUGAAAAGGCAUAAGGCAUAGUAUUGUUGAGGACUCCUUGUAUCUUUCUCUGAUCUAUAAAUUCUGUUCUUGCCCUAAAAUUUCUUGCUGAAAUUUAUUUGCAUGGAUGAUAAAUUCAUUAGUAUCAAAAAUGUAUUUAUCUGAAAAAUCUUAAUAAUAAUUAAGGAUUUGAAUUAAAAGUUAUCUAGAGUUUUUAACAUCAAUUUUAUAAAAUAAGAAAAUUGCGUAACAAAAUGAGUUGCAACUUCAUGUCACCAUUGUGAGCAUUCAGAAUUUGCGCCCCUCCAGUAAAGAGUUAUUGGAUUAAGCAUUGAACCUCAAAUAAACCUUGAUGUUUGUCACCAGACAAACUCAUUUCCAAUGCUCAUUAGUUGCUUCCUGCAUACUUGUGCCAUUAUUGUAUAUAUCGAUAAAUCAAUAGGAACAUACCUGUCGAGUGUUUAUUGACAUCAUUGAUUUUCAUGUUUAUAUGCCACUAUUGUGCUUGAUUGGUUUCCAUGUUUAUAAGCCAUUAUGUGCAUGAUUGGGCAACUAUAACCAUCUCUGAAAGUCAAUUUGAGAGAGUCAUUGCCCUAUGAAGGAAGCACCGAUUUGUAAAGCAUCUAAAGAGUGUUACUGAUUUAAGGUGAAACCUAUUUCCAUGUGACAUUGUGUAGGAAGGCACGGAUGGGUUGAAUAUGCAGAAAAGGAUUGGUAUAAUACUUCUCAAGUGCCGCCAGAAUAGCAUGGUUGGCUUUAUUUCAUAAUUGAUCACACAAGGGAUGAGCUCCUGAUGCUAAAACGUAAGAGGUAUGGGGAUGAGCAUAAGGAGAAUCUCUUUGGAGAAGGUGAGGAGUAUAUAUACCAUUCCAAAGGACAUGCUCUCAAUCCUGAUCAGAAGGACUGGACCAGGUAUCAACCUUGGCAACCCGCUAAGUCAGAGUAAUUCUUUGGGGCCACCAACAUCCUGUAAACUUGGAAAUUAUGGCAAUUUGAAUCUAUUCAAAUGAAUAAAGCAUGUGCUUAUUUGAGGCUGUAAAACUUUUGUUCCUGGAGGACUUUGAAUGUCAACUUCAUAUGUUUGGUGAAACUUAUUUUCUCAAUGGUUUUAUUGUGGACUGCUGUCGAUUUUGGUUUUAGUUGCUUAAGUACUGAUGGUGUUAUUGAGCUGAAAACUGCUGCAAAGGAAAUAGUGUUGAGAGACAAUAAAUCUUCACAUUUCUUGUUAAAUUCUGUCUUAGAAAGAUA
This 1604-nucleotide unclassified non-coding RNA is filed under the name Hevea brasiliensis (rubber tree). The record is from RNAcentral. Lineage: Eukaryota; Viridiplantae; Streptophyta; Magnoliopsida; Malpighiales; Euphorbiaceae.